GUCUCAGUGGCUCAGUUUGUUGAGUGUCUGACUUCAGCUCAGAUGACGAUCUCGCGUUUGUGGGUUCAAGCCCCAUGUCGGGCU
RNAcentral lists this transfer RNA (84 nucleotides) under Felis catus (domestic cat). It matches the Rfam family "tRNA". From Rfam's summary of the family: Transfer RNA (tRNA) molecules are approximately 80 nucleotides in length. Their secondary structure includes four short double-helical elements and three loops (D, anti-codon, and T loops). The record is from Rfam by way of RNAcentral. RNAcentral also lists the same sequence under 2 other names. Lineage: Eukaryota; Metazoa; Chordata; Mammalia; Carnivora; Felidae.